This 494-nucleotide ribosomal RNA is filed under the name uncultured bacterium. RNAcentral describes it as "partial 16S ribosomal RNA". It matches the Rfam family "Bacterial small subunit ribosomal RNA", at positions 28 to 506 of the family's 1533-position model. The record is from RNAcentral.
GACGAACGCUGGCGGCGUGCCUAAUACAUGCCAGUAGAACGCUGAAGGAGGAGCUUGCUUCUCUGGAUGAGUUGCGAACGGGUGAGUAACGCGUAGGUAACCUGCCUGGUAGCGGGGGAUAACUAUUGGAAACGAUAGCUAAUACCGCAUAAGAGUAGAUGUUGCAUGACAUUUACUUAAAAGGUGCAAUUGCAUCACUACCAGAUGGACCUGCGUUGUAUUAGCUAGUUGGUGAGGUAACGGCUCACCAAGGCAACGAUACAUAGCCGACCUGAGAGGGUGAUCGGCCACACUGGGACUGAGACACGGCCCAGACUCCUACGGGAGGCAGCAGUAGGGAAUCUUCGGCAAUGGACGGAAGUCUGACCGAGCAACGCCGCGUGAGUGAAGAAGGUUUUCGGAUCGUAAAGCUCUGUUGUAAGAGAAGAACGAGUGUGAGAGUGGAAAGUUCACACUGUGACGGUAUCUUACCAGAAAGGGACGGCUAACUACGU